Molecule: ribosomal RNA, 254 nt
Filed under: uncultured bacterium
Lineage: Bacteria
Description: partial 16S ribosomal RNA
Rfam family: Bacterial small subunit ribosomal RNA
Source: RNAcentral
UACGUAGGGUGCAAGCGUUGUCCGGAAUCACUGGGCGUAAAGGGCGCGUAGGCGGCUCAUGAAGGCUGUGGUGAAAGUCCGGGGCUCAACCUCGGAUCGGCCGUGGCGACUCGUGGGCUGGAGCACUGUAGAGGCGGGUGGAAUUCCGGGUGUAGCGGUGGAAUGCGUAGAGAUCCGGAAGAACACCAGUGGCGAAGGCGGCCCGCGUGGGCAGUGGCUGACGCUGAGGCGCGAAAGCGUGGGGAGCAAACAGG